AUGGGACCAAAGAAUCUAACUCGUGUUUUGGAAUUCUUCCUCCUCCACUUCUUAGAUGACUUGGAACUGCAGCCUUUCCUCUUCAGGCUGUCCCUGAACCAUGCACCUAGUCACAGUGCUUGCGAACUUGCUCACAUCCUUCUGACUGUCAGCUUUGCCCUCACCUCCACAACCCCAUGACUUCAACCUGUCCUUAGCUGACAUUGGUUUCACCCCUGCCACAAUUUCAAAGAUAACUGUAGACCUCCAAACUCACAGCAGAAUCAUUUUAUACAUGAGCUGCCUGAAAUAGAUGUCUUUUAAAAUUAUUUUUGGAUGUUUGCACAAUCUACUCAUGACUGUGAUGGCCUAUGACCCAUUUGUGGCGACCUGUCAUCUCUUGUACUACACAGUGAUCAGGAAUCCCCACCUCUGUGGCCUCCUGCUUCUGGUCUCUCUCUCUCUUUUUUUUUUUUGAUCAGUCUUUUGGAAACCCAGCUGUACAGUUUGAUGGUGUCACAAGUUCUCUCAUGCAAAUGUAGACAUUCCUCAUUUCUUCUGUGACCCUUCUCAGUUUCUCCACCUUUCCUGUUCUGACACUGCCACCAAUAACACAUUAAUGCAUUUUAUUGGUGCCAUCUCUGUGGUCCAUUCUCAGGGAUCCUUUACUGUUAUACUCAAAUUAUGUUCUCCAUACUCAUAACCCUAUAAAAUGUGGGAAGUAUAAAGCAAACCUUCUCCACCCAUCGCUCUCACCUGUCAGUUGUUUGCUUAUUUUAUGGAACAGGCCUUGGAGUAUACCUUAGUUUGGCUGGCUCACCUUCCCCAAGAACAGGUGUGGUGGCCUCAAUGGUAUAUACCACAGUCACCCUCAUGUUGAACCCUGCAUUCACAGCCUGAGGAACAGAGACAUCAAGAAUACCUGGUGGUGGCUCCUCAGCAUAACU
This 926-nucleotide long non-coding RNA is filed under the name Homo sapiens (human). RNAcentral describes it as "non-protein coding lnc-KHNYN-8:1". The record is from RNAcentral. Lineage: Eukaryota; Metazoa; Chordata; Mammalia; Primates; Hominidae.